RNAcentral lists this ribosomal RNA (496 nucleotides) under uncultured bacterium. RNAcentral's name for it is "partial 16S ribosomal RNA". It matches the Rfam family "Bacterial small subunit ribosomal RNA", at positions 28 to 506 of the family's 1533-position model. The record is from RNAcentral.
GAUGAACGCUGGCGGCGUGCCUAAUACAUGCAAGUCGAGCGAACGGACGAGAAGCUUGCUUCUCUGAUGUUAGCGGCGGACGGGUGAGUAACACGUGGAUAACCUACCUAUAAGACUGGGAUAACUUCGGGAAACCGGAGCUAAUACCGGAUGAUAUUUUGAACCGCAUGGUUCAAAAGUGAAAGACGGUCUUGCUGUCACUUAUAGCUGGAUCCGCGCUGCAUUAGCUAGUUGGUAAGGUAAUGGCUUACCAAGGCAACGAUGCAUAGCCGACCUGAGAGGGUGAUCGGCCACACUGGGACUGAGACACGGUCCAGACCCCUACGGGAGGCAGCAGUAGGGAAUCUUCCGCAAUGGGCGAAAGCCUGACGGAGCAACGCGGCGUGAGUGAUGAAGGUCUUCGGGUCGUAAAACUCUGUUAUUAGGGAAGAACACAUGUGUAAGUAACUGUGCACAUCUUGACGGUACCUAAUCAGAAAGCCACGGCUAACUACGU